GCAAGAGGGUAAUGGCUGUGGUCUGCAGGAAGACAUCCAGCCCCGCCCAUGUCACACACGUCAGACAUCCAGUUUGCCUACGAUACAAAUCACGUGAUCUCCUCCCGCCUUUACACUUCAGGAGACAGUGAAGAAGGAGAAGGGUACCAUGUCGCAUCCCACCCAUUUCUUGGCUAAUGAGGAGCCUGCUAUUCCUGCUGCAGAUACAUUCAACUGUCCAUGUUGUUCCUUCAGUACCAGUCUAAAUUACUCAGCCCACUACCACCUCAGAAACCAUUUAAAUGGAGCAGUGCACCAUGGAGGACAGAGUGAAAUCGGGUGAGUGAGAGAGAGCGGGGGGUGACAUGCAGCAAAUGGUCACAAGCCGGAGUCGAACCUGCGACCGCUGCAGUAAGGCAUCGCCUCUGUACAUGGGGUGCUGGCACUAUCCACUACGCUACUGACGCCCCAAUAUAAAACUCUAUUUUGAGAA
This is a long non-coding RNA of Epinephelus fuscoguttatus (brown-marbled grouper), 472 nucleotides long. RefSeq lists it as uncharacterized. The record is from RefSeq and is a predicted model, not a curated record. The transcript is spliced from 3 exons. Lineage: Eukaryota; Metazoa; Chordata; Actinopteri; Perciformes; Serranidae.